UCGCUAGUGGCUUAGUGGUAAAGAAUCUGCCUGCAAUGCAGGAGCCUCAGGUUGGAUCCCUGGGUUGGGAA
This 71-nucleotide transfer RNA is filed under the name Bos taurus (domestic cattle). It matches the Rfam family "tRNA". Rfam says of the family: Transfer RNA (tRNA) molecules are approximately 80 nucleotides in length. Their secondary structure includes four short double-helical elements and three loops (D, anti-codon, and T loops). RNAcentral also lists the same sequence under 1 other name. Lineage: Eukaryota; Metazoa; Chordata; Mammalia; Artiodactyla; Bovidae. The record is from Rfam by way of RNAcentral.